RNAcentral lists this ribosomal RNA (216 nucleotides) under uncultured archaeon. Its description in RNAcentral is "partial 16S ribosomal RNA". It matches the Rfam family "Archaeal small subunit ribosomal RNA", at positions 463 to 673 of the family's 1478-position model. The record is from RNAcentral.
CGCCACGGGGAAUACCCCGCUCCCCCGAGUGGUGGGGGAUUUUUUACUGAGCUUAAAAGCGCCCGUAGCCGGUUAUGCGUGUCUCCAGUCAAAUCCAGCAGCCUAACUGCUGGGCCGCUGGAGAUACUGCAUGACUUGGAGGCGGGAGAGGCCACCGGUAGUCCCGGGGUAGGAGUGAAAUCCACUGAUCCCGGGAGGACCUGCAGUGGCGAAGGC